This 935-nucleotide ribosomal RNA is filed under the name uncultured delta proteobacterium. RNAcentral's name for it is "bacterial SSU rRNA". It matches the Rfam family "Bacterial small subunit ribosomal RNA", at positions 8 to 916 of the family's 1533-position model. The record is from RNAcentral. Lineage: Bacteria; Deltaproteobacteria.
AGAGUUUGAUCCUGGCUCAGAACGAACGCUGGCGGCGUGCCUAACACAUGCAAGUCGAACGAGAAGUACGUAGCAAUACGUAUUGUAAAGUGGCGCACGGGUGAGUAACACGUGGGUAAUCUGCCCUCGAGUUUGGGAUAACCCCGCGAAAGCGGGGCUAAUACCGAAUAAGACCACGGGGACCAAAGUCCCUGAGGUAAAAGGUGGCCUCUAUUUAUAAGCUACCACUUGAGGAUGAGCCCGCGGCCCAUUAGCUAGUUGGCAGGGUAACGGCCUACCAAGGCGAUGAUGGGUAGCUGGUCUGAGAGGACGAUCAGCCACACUGGAACUGAGACACGGUCCAGACUCCUACGGGAGGCAGCAGUGGGGAAUAUUGCGCAAUGGGCGAAAGCCUGACGCAGCAACGCCGCGUGGGGGAUGAAGGUUCUCGGAUUGUAAACCCCUUUCGAUCGGAACGAAUCUCCUCCUGGUAAAUAAUCAGGAGGAUCGACGGUACCGGGAGAAGAAGCCACGGCUAACUCUGUGCCAGCAGCCGCGGUAAGACAGAGGUGGCGAGCGUUGUUCGGAUUUAUUGGGCGUAAAGCGAACGCAGGUGGUUUGGUAAGUCAGAGGUGAAAGACCACAGCUUAACUGUGGCACUGCCUUUGAUACUGCCUUUCUAGAGUGCAUGAGGGGGAAGCGGAAUUCCGAGUGUAGAGGUGAAAUUCGUAGAUAUUCGGAGGAACACCGGUGGCGAAGGCGGCUUCCUGGCAUGUAACUGACACUCAUGUUCGAAAGCGUGGGUAGCAAACAGGAUUAGAUACCCUGGUAGUCCACGCCCUAAACGAUGGGCACUAGGUGCGGGAGGUAUCGACCCCUUCCGUGCCGCAGCUAACGCAUUAAGUGCCCCGCCUGGGGAGUACGGCCGCAAGGUUGAAACUCAAAGGAAUUGACGG